GGGACACGUGGUAUCCUGUCUGAAUAUGGGGGGACCAUCCUCCAAGGCUAAAUACUCCUGACUGACCGAUAGUGAACCAGUACCGUGAGGGAAAGGCGAAAAGAACCCCGGCGAGGGGAGUGAAAAAGAACCUGAAACCGUGUACGUACAAGCAGUGGGAGCCUCUUAAUGGGGUGACUGCGUACCUUUUGUAUAAUGGGUCAGCGACUUAUAUUCUGUAGCAAGGUUAACCGAAUAGGGGAGCCGAAGGGAAACCGAGUCUUAACUGGGCGCUAAGUUGCAGGGUAUAGACCCGAAACCCGGUGAUCUAGCCAUGGGCAGGUUGAAGGUUGGGUAACACUAACUGGAGGACCGAACCGACUAAUGUUGAAAAAUUAGCGGAUGACUUGUGGCUGGGGGUGAAAGGCCAAUCAAACCGGGAGAUAGCUGGUUCUCCCCGAAAGCUAUUUAGGUAGCGCCUCGUGAAUUCAUCUCCGGGGGUAGAGCACUGUUUCGGCAAGGGGGUCAUCCCGACUUACCAACCCGAUGCAAACUGCGAAUACCGGAGAAUGUUAUCACGGGAGACACACGGCGGGUGCUAACGUCCGUCGUGAAGAGGGAAACAACCCAGACCGCCAGCUAAGGUCCCAAAGUCAUGGUUAAGUGGGAAACGAUGUGGGAAGGCCCAGACAGCCAGGAUGUUGGCUUAGAAGCAGCCAUCAUUUAAAGAAAGCGUAAUAGCUCACUGGUCGAGUCGGCCUGCGCGGAAGAUGUAACGGGGCUAAACCAUGCACCGAAGCUGCGGCAGCGACACUAUGUGUUGUUGGGUAGGGGAGCGUUCUGUAAGCCUGUGAAGGUGGCCUGUGAGGGUUGCUGGAGGUAUCAGAAGUGCGAAUGCUGACAUAAGUAACGAUAAAGCGGGUGAAAAGCCCGCUCGCCGGAAGACCAAGGGUUCCUGUCCAACGUUAAUCGGGGCAGGGUGAGUCGACCCCUAAGGCGAGGCCGAAAGGCGUAGUCGAUGGGAAACAGGUUAAUAUUCCUGUACUUGGUGUUACUGCGAAGGGGGGACGGAGAAGGCUAUGUUGGCCGGGCGACGGUUGUCCCGGUU
This 1087-nucleotide ribosomal RNA is filed under the name Escherichia coli. RNAcentral describes it as "partial 23S ribosomal RNA". It matches the Rfam family "Bacterial large subunit ribosomal RNA", at positions 419 to 1512 of the family's 2925-position model. The record is from RNAcentral. Lineage: Bacteria; Pseudomonadati; Pseudomonadota; Gammaproteobacteria; Enterobacterales; Enterobacteriaceae.